RNAcentral lists this ribosomal RNA (243 nucleotides) under uncultured Methanomicrobiales archaeon. Its description in RNAcentral is "partial 16S ribosomal RNA". It matches the Rfam family "Archaeal small subunit ribosomal RNA", at positions 1095 to 1338 of the family's 1478-position model. Lineage: Archaea; Methanobacteriati; Methanobacteriota; Methanomicrobia; Methanomicrobiales. The record is from RNAcentral.
ACUGUUGGACGCCUCUGCUAAAGAGGAGGAAGGGAAUGGGCAACGGUAGGUCAGCAUGCCCCGAAUUAUCUGGGCUACACGCGGGCUACAAUGGGUGGGACAAUGGGUAUCGACACCGAAAGGUGAAGGCAAUCUCCUAAACCCAUCCGUAGUUCGGAUUGUGGGCUGCAACUCGCCCACAUGAAGCUGGAAUCUGUAGUAAUCGUGUCUCAAAAUGGCACGGUGAAUAUGUCCCUGCUCCUU